CUACCAAAAGCUAAAUUUGUGGGAAAGGUUUUAAAAUAACCUUAACCAACUCAGGCUAUUUGGCAGAAUGAGUAUGACCACACUUCACAGUGAGCUGUACCACUUAGUAUAUAGUUCAUUACUAUCUUGUGGCCUACAUU
Acomys russatus (golden spiny mouse) is the source of this 140-nucleotide small nucleolar RNA. RefSeq annotates it as small nucleolar RNA SNORA4. The transcript has a single exon. Lineage: Eukaryota; Metazoa; Chordata; Mammalia; Rodentia; Muridae. The record is from RefSeq and is a predicted model, not a curated record.